RNAcentral lists this ribosomal RNA (2898 nucleotides) under Neisseria gonorrhoeae. RNAcentral describes it as "23S ribosomal RNA". It matches the Rfam family "Bacterial large subunit ribosomal RNA". The record is from RNAcentral. Lineage: Bacteria; Pseudomonadati; Pseudomonadota; Betaproteobacteria; Neisseriales; Neisseriaceae.
AUAGAGUCAAGUGAAUAAGUGCAUCAGGCGGAUGCCUUGGCGAUGAUAGGCGACGAAGGACGUGUAAGCCUGCGAAAAGCGCGGGGGAGCUGGCAAUAAAGCUAUGAUUCCGCGAUGUCCGAAUGGGGAAACCCACUGCAUUCUGUGCAGUAUCCUAAGUUGAAUACAUAGGCUUAGAGAAGCGAACCCGGAGAACUGAACCAUCUAAGUACCCGGAGGAAAAGAAAUCAACCGAGAUUCCGCAAGUAGUGGCGAGCGAACGCGGAGGAGCCUGUACGUAAUAACUGUCGAGAUAGAAGAACAAGCUGGGAAGCUUGACCAUAGCGGGUGACAGUCCCGUAUUCGAAAUCUCAACAGCGGUACUAAGCGUACGAAAAGUAGGGCGGGACACGUGAAAUCCUGUCUGAAUAUGGGGGGACCAUCCUCCAAGGCUAAAUACUCAUCAUCGACCGAUAGUGAACCAGUACCGUGAGGGAAAGGCGAAAAGAACCCCGGGAGGGGAGUGAAACAGAACCUGAAACCUGAUGCAUACAAACAGUGGGAGCGCCCUAGUGGUGUGACUGCGUACCUUUUGUAUAAUGGGUCAACGACUUACAUUCAGUAGCGAGCUUAACCGGAUAGGGGAGGCGUAGGGAAACCGAGUCUUAAUAGGGCGAUGAGUUGCUGGGUGUAGACCCGAAACCGAGUGAUCUAUCCAUGGUCAGGUUGAAGGUGCCGUAACAGGUACUGGAGGACCGAACCCACGCAUGUUGCAAAAUGCGGGGAUGAGCUGUGGGUAGGGGUGAAAGGCUAAACAAACUCGGAGAUAGCUGGUUCUCCCCGAAAACUAUUUAGGUAGUGCCUCGAGCAAGACACUGAUGGGGGUAAAGCACUGUUAUGGCUAGGGGGUUAUUGCAACUUACCAACCCAUGGCAAACUCAGAAUACCAUCAAGUGGUUCCUCGGGAGACAGACAGCGGGUGCUAACGUCCGUUGUCAAGAGGGAAACAACCCAGACCGCCGGCUAAGGUCCCAAAUGAUAGAUUAAGUGGUAAACGAAGUGGGAAGGCACAGACAGCCAGGAUGUUGGCUUAGAAGCAGCCAUCAUUUAAAGAAAGCGUAAUAGCUCACUGGUCGAGUCGUCCUGCGCGGAAGAUGUAACGGGGCUCAAAUCUAUAACCGAAGCUGCGGAUGCCGGUUUACCGGCAUGGUAGGGGAGCGUUCUGUAGGCUGAUGAAGGUGCAUUGUAAAGUGUGCUGGAGGUAUCAGAAGUGCGAAUGUUGACAUGAGUAGCGAUAAAGCGGGUGAAAAGCCCGCUCGCCGAAAGCCCAAGGUUUCCUACGCAACGUUCAUCGGCGUAGGGUAAGUCGGCCCCUAAGGCGAGGCAGAAAUGCGUAGUCGAUGGGAAACAGGUUAAUAUUCCUGUACUUGAUUCAAAUGCGAUGUGGGGACGGAGAAGGUUAGGUUGGCAAGCUGUUGGAAUAGCUUGUUUAAGCCGGUAGGUGGAAGACUUAGGCAAAUCCGGGUUUUCUUAACACCGAGAAGUGAUGACGAGUGUCUACGGACACGAAGCAACCGAUACCACGCUUCCAGGAAAAGCCACUAAGCUUCAGUUUGAAUCGAACCGUACCGCAAACCGACACAGGUGGGCAGGAUGAGAAUUCUAAGGCGCUUGAGAGAACUCGGGAGAAGGAACUCGGCAAAUUGAUACCGUAACUUCGGGAGAAGGUAUGCCCUCUAAGGUUAAGGACUUGCUCCGUAAGCCCCGGAGGGUCGCAGAGAAUAGGUGGCUGCGACUGUUUAUUAAAAACACAGCACUCUGCCAACACGAAAGUGGACGUAUAGGGUGUGACGCCUGCCCGGUGCCGGAAGGUUAAUUGAAGAUGUGCAAGCAUCGGAUCGAAGCCCCGGUAAACGGCGGCCGUAACUAUAACGGUCCUAAGGUAGCGAAAUUCCUUGUCGGGUAAGUUCCGACCCGCACGAAUGGCGUAACGAUGGCCACACUGUCUCCUCCCGAGACUCAGCGAAGUUGAAGUGGUUGUGAAGAUGCAAUCUACCCGCUGCUAGACGGAAAGACCCCGUGAACCUUUACUGUAGCUUUGCAUUGGACUUUGAAGUCACUUGUGUAGGAUAGGUGGGAGGCUUGGAAGCAGAGACGCCAGUCUCUGUGGAGUCGUCCUUGAAAUACCACCCUGGUGUCUUUGAGGUUCUAACCCAGACCCGUCAUCCGGGUCGGGGACCGUGCAUGGUAGGCAGUUUGACUGGGGCGGUCUCCUCCCAAAGCGUAACGGAGGAGUUCGAAGGUUACCUAGGUCCGGUCGGAAAUCGGACUGAUAGUGCAAUGGCAAAAGGUAGCUUAACUGCGAGACCGACAAGUCGGGCAGGUGCGAAAGCAGGACAUAGUGAUCCGGUGGUUCUGUAUGGAAGGGCCAUCGCUCAACGGAUAAAAGGUACUCCGGGGAUAACAGGCUGAUUCCGCCCAAGAGUUCAUAUCGACGGCGGAGUUUGGCACCUCGAUGUCGGCUCAUCACAUCCUGGGGCUGUAGUCGGUCCCAAGGGUAUGGCUGUUCGCCAUUUAAAGUGGUACGUGAGCUGGGUUUAAAACGUCGUGAGACAGUUUGGUCCCUAUCUGCAGUGGGCGUUGGAAGUUUGACGGGGGCUGCUCCUAGUACGAGAGGACCGGAGUGGACGAACCUCUGGUGUACCGGUUGUAACGCCAGUUGCAUAGCCGGGUAGCUAAGUUCGGAAGAGAUAAGCGCUGAAAGCAUCUAAGCGCGAAACUCGCCUGAAGAUGAGACUUCCCUUGCGGUUUAACCGCACUAAAGGGUCGUUCGAGACCAAGACGUUGAUAGGUGGGGUGUGGAAGCGCGGUAACGCGUGAAGCUAACCCAUACUAAUUGCCCGUGAGGCUUGACUCUAU